CCCUCAAGAUGAGAUAUCCCUGCUUAGGCAGUAAGACCCCUUGUAGACGACAAGGUAGAUAGGUUGGAGGUGGAAGAGCGGCAACGCUUGCAGCUGACCAAUACUAAUAGGUCGAGGGCUUGACCAGAA
This 129-nucleotide ribosomal RNA is filed under the name Eubacterium sp. RNAcentral's name for it is "partial 23S ribosomal RNA". It matches the Rfam family "Bacterial large subunit ribosomal RNA", at positions 2796 to 2925 of the family's 2925-position model. Lineage: Bacteria; Bacillati; Bacillota; Clostridia; Eubacteriales; Eubacteriaceae. The record is from RNAcentral.